RNAcentral lists this ribosomal RNA (478 nucleotides) under uncultured bacterium. RNAcentral's name for it is "SSU rRNA". It matches the Rfam family "Bacterial small subunit ribosomal RNA", at positions 26 to 521 of the family's 1533-position model. The record is from RNAcentral.
AGGAUGAACGCUGGCGGUAUGCUUAACACAUGCAAGUCGUACGGGUGGAACUUGUUCCAUCUAGUGGCGGACGGGUGCGUAACACGUAAGAACCUACCUUUUGGAGGGGGAUAACAUUGGGAAACUGAUGCUAAUACCUCGUAAUACUGAGGAGUUAAAAGCGGGUAUCCUGCAAGGGAGCUACGCGCCAAGAGAGGGGCUUGCGGCUGAUUAGCUAGUUGGUGGGGGUAAUGGCCUCCCAAGGCCACGAUCAGUAGCUGGUCUGAGAGGACGACCCAGCCACACUGGGACUGAGACACGGCCCAGACUCUUACGGGAGGCAGCAGUGAGGAAUUUUCCACAAUGGGCGAAAGCCUGAUGGAGCAAUCCCGCGUGGAGGAAGAAGGUCUGUGGAUCGUAAUCUCCUUUUCUCAGAGAAGAACAAAAUGACGGUAUCUGAGGAAUAAGCUCCGGCUAACCAUGCGCCAGCAGCCGCGGU